RNAcentral lists this ribosomal RNA (496 nucleotides) under uncultured bacterium. Its description in RNAcentral is "SSU rRNA". It matches the Rfam family "Bacterial small subunit ribosomal RNA", at positions 26 to 501 of the family's 1533-position model. The record is from RNAcentral.
AGAACGAACGCUGGCGGCGUGGAUAAGACAUGCAAGUCGAGCGCUAAUUACAGGGUAGCAAUAUCUUGUAGUUGGAGCGGCGCAAGGGUGCGUAACACGUGGGUAAUCUGCCAUGAAGUUCGGGAUAACUCGCUGAAAGGCGAGCUAAUACCGAAUGUGAAAAUCGGGAAGCAUUUCCUGAUUUUCAAAGCUGGGGACCGUAAGGCCUGGCGCUUCAUGAUGAGCCCGCGGCCUAUCAGCUAGUUGGUGAGGUAACGGCUCACCAAGGCUAAGACGGGUAGCUGGUCUGAGAGGACGACCAGCCACACUGGAACUGAGACACGGUCCAGACACCUACGGGUGGCAGCAGUCGAGAAUUUUCACAAUGGGGAAACCCUGAUGGAGCGACGCCGCGUGGGGAUGAAUGGCUUCGGCCGUAAACCCUGUCAUUUGCGAACAAUUGGUUCAAUUAAUAGCUGAACCAUUGAUAGUAGCGAAAGAGGAAGGGACGGCUAAC